This 21-nucleotide non-coding RNA is filed under the name Arabidopsis thaliana (thale cress). Lineage: Eukaryota; Viridiplantae; Streptophyta; Magnoliopsida; Brassicales; Brassicaceae. The record is from RNAcentral.
UUUGAUGUCUCACCGCCGUUU